CAAAAAAGGUAAAAAUUCUCAUACCCGCUCAGAAUUUGAUUCUGAGCACCACUUGGCUAUAUCGGAGCAAAAUGAACGGCAGGUGAGCCGAAAACUGCGGGCAAAACCCGCAAUCUCCUCCGAUGAGCCCCUUCAUGUUUUUUGUUUUGUGCAAUUUUUUCACCGUUGUGUUCGCUGUUGUGUUUUCUACAGGUUGACUGAAGAAAAAAUCCAAGUCGCAAAGGUGAGCUGGUAGAGUCGCCGCACUUGGAAAACCCCAUCACUGGUAGGUUCCGUUUUUUAAUUUUUUCGGCCAACC
Molecule: long non-coding RNA, 298 nt
Filed under: Carica papaya (papaya)
Lineage: Eukaryota; Viridiplantae; Streptophyta; Magnoliopsida; Brassicales; Caricaceae
Description: long non-coding RNA (CPAP_LNC012916)
Source: RNAcentral